GAUGAACGCUGGCGGCGUGCCUAACACAUGCAAGUCGAACGGAAAGGCUCCUGCUUGCAUGGGUACUCGAGUGGCGAACGGGUGAGUAACACGUGGGUGAUCUGUCCUGCACUUCGGGAUAAGCCUGGGAAACUGGGUCUAAUAUCCGAUAGGACGUUGUUUUGGAUGCCAUUCUGGAGAGUUUUUCGGUGUGGGCUGAGCUUGCGGCCUAUCAGCUUGUUGGUGGGGUAAUGGCUUACCAAGGCGUCGACCGGUAGCCGGCCUGAGAGGGUGUACGGCCACAUUGCGACUGAGAUACGGCGCAGACUCCAACGGGAGGCAGCGGUGGAGAAUAUGGCACAAUGGGCGCAAGCCUGAUGCAGCGACGCCGGGUGGGGGAUGACGGCCUUCGGGUUGUAAACACCUUUCGCUAGGGACGAAGCGCAAGUGACGGUACCUGGAGAAGAAGCACCGGCUAACUACGUG
RNAcentral lists this ribosomal RNA (465 nucleotides) under uncultured bacterium. Its description in RNAcentral is "partial 16S ribosomal RNA". It matches the Rfam family "Bacterial small subunit ribosomal RNA", at positions 28 to 507 of the family's 1533-position model. The record is from RNAcentral.